CAAGAAGAUCUAUGGGACCAUCCCUGGCUACGAGGGCGUGGAGAUCACCAGCCUCAGGUCCGGCAGCAUCGUGGUGGGACACCGCGUGUUCUUCACCAUGGCCGAGAGCGGCAACACCGCGGAGAAGUUCCAGGAGAUCACGGAUGGGUUGUUGGAGAAGCUCCGGGAGACGGAGGCGAGCCAGGGCGACUGCCAGCACGACACCUCCGUGCUGUGCCUCGUGCUGAGACCCAACCCCGUGGUCAGCGGCAUGGAGAAGGUGUCGGACCU
Long non-coding RNA from Parus major (Great Tit), 270 nucleotides. RefSeq lists it as uncharacterized. Lineage: Eukaryota; Metazoa; Chordata; Aves; Passeriformes; Paridae. The transcript is spliced from 3 exons. The record is from RefSeq and is a predicted model, not a curated record.